Oncorhynchus kisutch (coho salmon) is the source of this 1391-nucleotide long non-coding RNA. RefSeq lists it as uncharacterized. The transcript is spliced from 3 exons. The record is from RefSeq and is a predicted model, not a curated record. Lineage: Eukaryota; Metazoa; Chordata; Actinopteri; Salmoniformes; Salmonidae.
CUCAAAUAGAAUUUUACCAGGUGACUAUCACUUGGACUUGUCAUUUUCUAUUAUGGUAUCUUUACUUUGACUCAAGUAUGACAAUUGGGUACCACCACCAGACUUAUGUUUAUUUUUGACCGGAGAAUUACUUGUGAAUUAGUUUUGAUGCAUCCAUUGCAAAGACUUGCAUAAACAGCUCUUUGUGCUGGUAGUGUACAGCAGCUGCCAUUAUAUCAGCAGCCAAAGACCGGAAAUAGUCAUUCUCAGACACCCCCUCACAAGAGGCCUAUUCAGAUACUCCCUCUUUGCUCAUGUGUUCCAAGUCCCUGCCAGGCAAGGGUAGACGAUAACAAACUACAGGAUUCUUAACGUUUUGUUGACUUUUAUAGAUCACCUAAAAUGUUAUCCAGGAACUUUCUGAAGAAAUAUUAGGAUACAUGAUACGUUUAUUUGUUUGAACUUAAUUCCGUGUUGAUAUUGAAGUAGAUGUUUGAUUGCUCUGGUCUAGGGACGCAUCAUUUGCAGCCUUGGGAAUCUAAUUUUCUCUCCGCAACUCCCUUGUCAUUAUCUCUACACUACAACAAAGUAGUCUACUCUACUGUAGCCAACAAUUAUUCAUUCAAUACAAAGAAACAAUAGCUUACACAAUGGAUCGGUGUUCACAUUCCUUCACUGAUUUCGAACACAUUGUCCAUUAUUUGACCAGAUACUCAAGUGACCGUUCAAACAAAGAAAAUAAAUGUCUUCAACAAUGGAAGGCAAUCGAUAAAGAGGCAAGAUCAGGACAAAUCUAGGCCGUUCCCCUCCACCCUCCCAGAGUCCCCAGGUCGAUCGCCUCCCUGUACUUUACUGCUGGGUCUGGUUGACUGCAGGAAAACACCAGGGCAGAGUGGAACUGAGAGAGGAGAAGAGGAAUAUGGAGAUGUGAUUUCAUUAAGUAAGAACCAUGGCGUGUGGAUGAGACUACAGUCUGCUUCUGUAACAAUGAAUUCAUUAUAUAUUGAUGAAAAUAUCUGGUCGUUCCACCCAAUUUUAAAAAGUGUACCAAAAAAAAGUUUGAUUUCACAUCAUUUUAACAUUCUGUCAUAAAAAGCACAUGUUCAACUUAAUAAAAUACAUUUUGCCAUCUCAAGAGGUUUAAUGAAAUAUAAAUACUAUAGUAAGAGCCAAUGUGCCAAAUAAAGUUACAUGGUUGACCGUAACAUGGGACUACUGAAAACAACAAAAACCCUACAUUGGUAAAACGGUCCUUUAAAUCAGCCAUGAAUCUGCUUGUGACGGGGGGAAUGGAAGCUAGUAUUGUGCAACAGGAAGUAGUAAUUGAAUGCAGUCUUCACAUAAAAAGUUAUUGUUAAAACAUCUCUAUCAUGUCUGUGUCUGGAUAGAAGGGUUGAGAUGCUCAGUUUCCC